Long non-coding RNA from Dromaius novaehollandiae (emu), 219 nucleotides. RefSeq lists it as uncharacterized. Lineage: Eukaryota; Metazoa; Chordata; Aves; Casuariiformes; Dromaiidae. The transcript has 3 exons. The record is from RefSeq and is a predicted model, not a curated record.
AUCGCCGCAAGCAUCGGGCUGAGCGCGGCCGAGCUGCAGGAUGAGAUCUGCAGGCACCUGGCCCAAGACUGCCCCGUGCUGCUGGAGAGGCUCUGGAGCACAGCCCGGAGCUGCUGCAUGGGGAGCUGCGUGGCGCCGCAGGCAGCAGCCGUCCACGUCCUGGGCCUCCUCCUGGACACAGUGCCGACCGCGUGGCUGCAACAGCAGGACCUGGCGUUC